GGCUCAGGAUGAACGCUAGCGGCAGGCUUAACACAUGCAAGUCGAGGGGUAUUGUUCUUCGGAAUGAGAGACCGGCGCACGGGUGCGUAACGCGUAUGCAAUCUACCUUUUACAGAGGGAUAGCCCAGAGAAAUUUGGAUUAAUACCUCAUAGUAUGUGAGAAUGGCAUCAUUUUCACAUUAAAGUCACAACGGUAAAAGAUGAGCAUGCGUCCCAUUAGCUAGUUGGUAAGGUAACGGCUUACCAAGGCUACGAUGGGUAGGGGUCCUGAGAGGGAGAUCCCCCACACUGGUACUGAGACACGGACCAGACUCCUACGGGAGGCAGCAGUGAGGAAUAUUGGACAAUGGGCGCAAGCCUGAUCCAGCCAUGCCGCGUGCAGGAUGACGGUCCUAUGGAUUGUAAACUGCUUUUGCACAGGAAGAAACAACGCUACGUGUAGCGUCUUGACGGUACUGUGAGAAUAAGGAUCGGCUAACUCCGUGCCAGCAGCCGCGGUAAUACGGAGGAUCCAAGCGUUAUCCGGAAUCAUUGGGUUUAAAGGGUCCGUAGGCGGUUUGGUAAGUCAGUGGUGAAAGCUCAUCGCNUCACGGUGGAACGGCCAUUGAUACUGCUAGACUUGA
This 623-nucleotide ribosomal RNA is filed under the name uncultured bacterium. Its description in RNAcentral is "bacterial SSU rRNA". It matches the Rfam family "Bacterial small subunit ribosomal RNA", at positions 21 to 645 of the family's 1533-position model. The record is from RNAcentral.